UCCACGCCGGCCGCGGCACCCCCGCUCCCCCACCGGUGCGCGCUCGCCAGGAGCUGCUGAAACCCCCGUCGCGCAGGGGCGAGGCGGCCGCGCAGAUCCCGCGCGAUAACCGCGGGCGCGCUGCCCGGGGCAACACUGCCCGGCUCGCCCAGGCUGUACUGCCCGGAGCGCGGCCUGCACCGCCGGCCGGCAAAGGCAUAGCCCCUCCGAGGGAGCCGAUGCCUGGCGAAGAGUCUCGGGGAUGUCGGUGAAGGCAUCUGGGGGGCCAGAGGGGCGGCAGCGUGCAGGGGCCGGGCCCCAUUGCCAGAGGGCCCUCCGGGUCAUUUCCUUGCAGGCGAGCAGAUCGCUGGGGAAUGAGAUGCAGAUUUACCCUUGACGCUGUGCACGCAUGGCUGAGGCUUCAGGAAGGAAGGAAGAAAAGCGCUGCCCGGCAGGCUCGGCGCUGCCCCCGCUCCUCGGGCCGACCACCCCCGCUGUCCCCCGCGCCCCAAGAGGUAUCGUCUCCAGUCCUCGCUUUCCUGCUUCGUCCUGCAGUGGGAACCAGCUUUUCGGACAGACAUCCUCAUGAGCUCGAGUCCUCCCUAUUUUGGAGAGAGACGAAAAAUAGCUAUAAUGAAGUGCAUACAAAGAACGCGCCUCGUUUACACAUGGCAACCAGGAAAGGACGCCUGAGCUUUGAAGAUGCCUGCUAUCGCGUUUUCGAUCAUGUUUCCCCACAUAUUACACCACGAAUUCUCCAUGUGUGGUAGUUUCAGAGUUAUACGUUUUUGUCUUGAAGAUGUUAUUUUGUUUUCCCUUGCUUUUAUGUAUUUAUGAAUUGAUUUAUGUAAACGAAAGUAAAGAUGAAUCUUUGUUCACUCCCUCCUUCACCACACAUGCCUGUGAAUUAUUCGGUAUAAUGCGUGUGCACGAGACUGUGCAUAUGUGCAAACAUAUAUUAACACAACCAAAGGGUAGGAAUUAAAUUAUUCAGUUUGAUAGUAAAAGUAAUUUCCAUAGAAGAACUGCAUUCCGUCAUUCAAGAGAGACGCUUGGUUUUCUUUCUGCUAUUUUGAAAUAAACGUACGCCAUAUUAAACACAGGUAAACAAAAGGAAAAAAUACACAAGGUAAAAUCUGCCAGUCUUCCUGAUAUAAAAUAUUAAAAGGAUGGUUUGGGUUUGGUGAAAAUUUAUUAACAGAGACUCUGCUGGAAUCAACAUAAUGGACUGUUGUGUAGAAGA
Long non-coding RNA from Pseudopipra pipra, 1222 nucleotides. RefSeq lists it as uncharacterized. NCBI's taxonomy places the organism in Eukaryota, Metazoa, Chordata, Aves, Passeriformes, Pipridae. The record is from RefSeq and is a predicted model, not a curated record. The transcript has 3 exons.